RNAcentral lists this transfer RNA (62 nucleotides) under Falcolipeurus quadripustulatus. RNAcentral describes it as "tRNA-Arg". Lineage: Eukaryota; Metazoa; Arthropoda; Insecta; Psocodea; Philopteridae. The record is from RNAcentral.
AGGUAAGCGAUAAAUUGCAAUUAGCUACGGCCUAAUUUUAGUAUCAACUACAGAUACACCUA